GUACACUCCUACGGGAGGCAGCAGUGGGGAAUAUUGGACAAUGGGCGCAAGCCUGAUCCAGCCAUGCCGCGUGAGUGAUGAAGGCCCUAGGGUUGUAAAGCUCUUUCACCGGUGAAGAUAAUGACGGUAACCGGAGAAGAAGCCCCGGCUAACUUCGUGCCAGCAGCCGCGGUAAUACGAAGGGGGCUAGCGUUGUUCGGAUUUACUGGGCGUAAAGCGCACGUAGGCGGACUAUUAAGUCAGGGGUGAAAUCCCGGGGCUCAACCCCGGAACUGCCUUUGAUACUGGUAGUCUUGAGUUCGAGAGAGGUGAGUGGAAUUCCGAGUGUAGAGGUGAAAUUCGUAGAUAUUCGGAGGAACACCAGUGGCGAAGGCGGCUCACUGGCUCGAUACUGACGCUGAGGUGCGAAAGCGUGGGGAGCAAACAGGAUUAGAUACCCUAGUAGUCCCA
This 450-nucleotide ribosomal RNA is filed under the name uncultured organism. Its description in RNAcentral is "partial 16S ribosomal RNA". It matches the Rfam family "Bacterial small subunit ribosomal RNA", at positions 331 to 797 of the family's 1533-position model. The record is from RNAcentral.